AUGCCCCCGGGCUGUCCUAUCAUCCCGGUGCUCGAGAGGUCCGGUGGCGCGUCUCUCGGUGGCCUCCUGCCGGCCGACGGAUCCAGGGCGGCUGCUCCCCUCGUCGCGCCUUCCCAUGACUCCGGCGCGAUGUCCCGCCCCUCCUUACUUUUAUUCCCUCCUCUGACCUCCAUGGGGACCAGCGCCGCCCAAGUUUCCCCGCCCCCGGGUUCCGGUGAGGGCUGCGGCGAUCCACGGCUGCUGGGCUUCUUUUCCUACGGGGCUGGGAUUUGGGAGAUGCACCUGCUGCCCUCAGACAUCAGACGGGAGAUGAUGAACCGGGCAAUGCACGCCGCUGCGAGGGGCGGAGACUUGAGAUCCCCAGGGAGCUCCUGCAGGGUUGCUCCAUUCCCGCUGCGUACCAGGACGCAACCAUCUUGCAUUUUGCGGCUUCAAGGGGCCAAGUUGAGGGUCAUAGGGUUGACCUAG
This 468-nucleotide ribosomal RNA is filed under the name Triticum aestivum (bread wheat). RNAcentral describes it as "partial small subunit ribosomal RNA". Lineage: Eukaryota; Viridiplantae; Streptophyta; Magnoliopsida; Poales; Poaceae. The record is from RNAcentral.